Onychostoma macrolepis is the source of this 1341-nucleotide long non-coding RNA. RefSeq lists it as uncharacterized. The record is from RefSeq and is a predicted model, not a curated record. The transcript is spliced from 3 exons. Lineage: Eukaryota; Metazoa; Chordata; Actinopteri; Cypriniformes; Cyprinidae.
UUUUACAGUUGUUAACUGUAUAUUUCCAUGUCAACUGUAAUUAAUUUACAAGAAGCAGGUGUUAUCACUGUAGCUCCUGCUUUUUACACUACUUUACUGUAGUGUGGCAUUAUGGGAUUGCGCGCGCAUCGUUCAAAUCUGAAAUCCAGCCGACUGGAGCAGUGCCAGAACGAUUGAAGAUUAGAGGCUUUAUUCAUAAUUCCUGGUGCAAAGAAUAGCAGCUGAUGUGGAGAAAUGUUUGAUGCUUCAAGACUCUCUGAAGCUGAUUAUAUUAGGUGCACCCAGUGGCUUUUGACUAGGCCUAUUCGAGGGUCACAUGGUUGUGAAUUCAUACCUCAACUUUGUGGCUGGAUUUUCAGUCUUAUUACAACUUCAGCCUGGCGUCCCGGGAGCAGGCGUCUUUUGCACACUUGAGUUAAUUUCAAAGGUAACAUGUUUUACUCGAGUAAUUUCAUUUGUGAAAAAGGUUACUUAUUUAGUUUAAGUACUGGUAAAUGCUGAUUGUAUUGUAUAAUUUUUAUGAUUUUUAUAUAUAUCAAAUUUUUCCAUUUAUUUCAUUGAGCUAGUGUUACGUUCCACGUGUAUUUGUGUAUAUUGUUUUGUUUUUCUCGCUCUCCUGUCUUUUUGUACUUUGAUUUGCUCCGCUUCUAGGUCGAUGUUUAUUGGUGGACUCGACUGUCAAUCAUCAUUCUGACGUCACGAUGUUCUGCCCAUCCCAAGUGCCAGCUGUAUUUGAGGACGCGGGUUGAUUGUGUGUGCGUGCGCCACGCCAGCGUACCUUGUGCUUCCAACGCGGUCAGCAGUCUUGUGUCGACACCAAUUGUCUCCCGAGGCUUAAUGUAUUUUGCCUUAAGGAGUUAUGCUUUGCUUUAUUUGUAGAUUUGUUUAUUGGCUAUUGACUUGUAUCGAAUCCUUUGGAAAAGAUCACGCCGAUGUGGGUGUUGGAGUUUCAGUCCUAUCAUGGGUUAAGUUCAAAGUAAAGGAUGCAUUUUAGCGCCUCGAAUCUGCUUAAUCAAAUGUGUCUAUCAGUGAUGAUUUGAAUACUUAGUCAACUGUUGUGAUACUGUUUUCUUGUCUUUGAUUAGGUUAGUUUGUACUUUGUUAGAUUAGAUUUCUGAGUGUUACGCCACCCCUGUAAUUUAUUUCCCUUUUGUACAUAUUAUUUGUAUUUGUCUACAAGGCGCCCAGUAAAGAUCUUUUUCUUUGGCAAUACUUGUUCUCAGGACCAUCUUUGAUCCGCACCACAUCCCGUAACAAUUGUCUCAUAUAAAUGUUAUGGUAUCAUCCCGUUUUAACAUCAAACACGUAACAGCUAGUUUCAUUCAAUACUGAACUUUAUUC